This 543-nucleotide non-coding RNA is filed under the name Pan troglodytes (chimpanzee). The record is from RNAcentral. Lineage: Eukaryota; Metazoa; Chordata; Mammalia; Primates; Hominidae.
UAUUCAGCCAUGCCAAUUGACUUACUACCCUCUCCAUAGCCAAAGGAAUGCCCAAAUUUCCACAGAAAGGCAUUUUUAUAUGAGGAAGCUCAUCCCUGUGGACCUUUCUCUUGAAUGCCUACUAUGAGUCACUCAGCAAGAGAGGCACCCAGCUCCCUCAGGGUCUGCAGUGCCUCGGAGGCCCACUUUCCUCCAUGAAACAGUCUCUGAACAUAUUAUUCCUCACGGAUGAUCACCUUCUUAACUCCAUCCAGAUGGAGUGUGCCUCUGUCUCACUAUUUAGCGUUGUCCUAGAAAAUACCGAGUAAUUGUUUCAUGCGUAUACAUCAUGUUUCCUCAAGUAGAAUCUAACUUUAUACAAUCAAAAGUGUCAGAUUGAUGGAUGAGUAGCAGAUAGGUAAAUUUCUGAUAAAGAGAAUUAAAUUAAGUGUUAAUUGUAGAAUCUAGUGAUGGGUUUAUGGGUAUUAACUGUAAAAAUCUUUCAUCUUUUCUGUAUGUUUGAUAACUUUCAUAUAAAAAUAAUAAAAACUUUAGUUUAUCUUC